This 179-nucleotide non-coding RNA is filed under the name Orrella dioscoreae. Its description in RNAcentral is "FMN riboswitch aptamer (RFN element)". It matches the Rfam family "FMN riboswitch aptamer (RFN element)". Rfam says of the family: The RFN element is a highly conserved domain that is found frequently in the 5'-untranslated regions of prokaryotic mRNAs that encode for flavin mononucleotide (FMN) biosynthesis and transport proteins. RNAcentral also lists the same sequence under 1 other name. Lineage: Bacteria; Pseudomonadati; Pseudomonadota; Betaproteobacteria; Burkholderiales; Alcaligenaceae. The record is from Rfam by way of RNAcentral.
ACGCGUCUUCAGGGCGGGGCGAAAUUCCCCACCGGCGGUAUGCACGAAGACGGUGUCGUCACCACGGCCCCGUCUGUCGCGCGAGCCCGCGAGCGCUUGCCGGCACCCCGCCGGCAAGGUCAGCAGACCUGGUGAGAAGCCAGGGCCGACGGUCAGAGUCCGGAUGAGAGAAGACGAGC